GGGGCGGCGCAGGCUGACGCACGCGGGCCGGCGGAAGGCGGAAGAGGCGGCGCCGCGGCCUGCGGGGCCCGCACCCAGCCCGGAUCCCGGCCGAGGCGGGGAGGGCCACCCGCCGGGAGAGGCAGCGCGGCCCGCCCGAGGGAGGGGGUGCCGGGGGGUGGGGGGCGCGGCGGGGGCGGCCGCGGGUCCCGUUAGCUCAGGGAGACCUCGUCCUCGUUCCCGCGUCCCGUCAUCCUGAGGAGACCCGUCCCCGCGUCCCGUCAUCCUGAGGAGACCCGGUCUCCGGAAGCCGGUCGGGCUGAGGAGAAUCCGUGCUCGUCCCCGUCCGUGGGUCCCGUCACCCGGAGGAGACCUGUCCCCGGGAGCCGGUCAGGCUGAGGAAAUCCGUGCUCGUCCCCGUCCGCGGGUCCCGCCACCCCGAGGAGACCCCGUCCGCGGGUCCCGUCACCCCGAGGAGACCCCGUCCCUGGGGUCCCACCGCCCGGACGGGUCAGGCCGCAGAGGGAAAGGGGGGCAGGCUGGUCAGGAGGUCGGAAGUCGGGGUGCGUCUGGGAAGGAGGGGCAGCCGACGGCACCGGUCCGCACUGCCGCGCGUCCUCGGAAAGCUCCGUAGAGGAGCGGCCCAGACAGCAGGUGCGGAGCAGAUGGAGCCCGCGCCCGUGCCGGCUCCAAGAAGCCCCCAUACUCUCUGUCCCUGGAAAGGCAAGUGGGAUUUUUUUCAUGUCUUUUCUUGUAUCGUCACCUCAAAUACAAGCCAGUGUGAUACAUAAGUAAAAUGUUCUUGGUAUUUUGAUAAGUGUGUUUAAUUUUUUAAAAAACAGACUGUAGCAAGUUAAGCCACUUACCCAUGCACAAAAUUAGGAGUGAAGCCAGGAUUAUGUGUUACUCAGAAGUGCAAUCAGCCACUUAACGCCGCAUUAGAUGCUGACACCCCAGAAACAUCCACAUUUCCUCUGGAACCCACUGCAGGCUUACAAGGUUAAGAAGAACAACGCUCAUUGUAUUGUAAUUUAUAGCAUCGCGUUCCAUAUAUUUAUGUUCACCAUGUGCUGUUUUUAUUCUAAACAUGCUUGUUUUUAAUUUUGUAAAUGCCCUAGUGCCAGUAUCUGGGAUUCAGGGAAUAAAUUUUCACCCUAAGACAAUGUGGAGUACUAAGGGUCUGGAGUCGGACUGCCAAAUCUGCCUCCUCCCAGCUCUGUGCCCUUGUGAAAAUUACUGUCUUUUCAAACCGUGGAUUUUAUCAUUUGUACAAUGAGGACGUUAAUAGUACUUACCUCCCAGAUUGUUAUAGGAUUAAAUGAGAUAAUUUGUGUCCUUACGACACAGCAAAUACUCCGGAAAUGUUGGCUUUUAUAUUUAUUACUUCCACAUAACUAAUUACAUCGAUUUUAUGCUUGAGAACAUGGACAAGUUAUUUUGCUUUUUAAAACUUUAAAAUUCAUUUUCAUAAGUAUAAAAUAUAAAAUUAUUUUAUGUUUACUUGCCCUAUUUAGAAUUUUUAUUUACUUAUUUAUUUAUUUGACAGAGAGAGAGAGAGCACAAGCAGGCAGAGCAGCAAGCAGAGGGAGGAGAAAGGUUUCCCGCCAAGCAAGAAGCCGCAUGCAGGGCUCGUGACCUGAGCCGAAGGCAGUUGCUCAACCGACUGAGCCACCAAGGUGCCCCUACUUGCCCUAUUUAACUAUGUGUUCACCUUUUUUAAAAAGCGAAUUCUUUCAUUUUUUUAAACUAAUAUUAUUAAUGGCUAUCAAGAUGUUCGGCUGACAAAUAUUUUAUGUAAUCUGCAUGCUCAGCUCAAAUUCAGGCACUGGUUGACGUUAAAAUUUUUAAGUAUCGUUACUCUUACAGUAUACAUCUGUGCUUAAAAUUCAGUAAAAAACUGUAAUAUAUUCUUGGGCUCACAGCACAUGACAACUAAUGAUUGGGAACUUUCAUUUUCAACGACUUUAUCCUCGGACAAUUCACUUAGAGUGUAUGAUAAAACUUUUAAUUUCACCAAGAGAUUGCCACACAAGUGAGGAAAAAAUUUUUUAAAAUGCUGAAAAGGACAUGUCCCUGUGCUUCACAGAAUUUACAAAAUGAAAUCUCAGGAAAAAUGUUGUGAUUAAUAUACAAAGAGAACCCGUGGUGUGCAAAAAUGAUAAAUAGGUGGAAAACUAAUGAGGGAAAUACUAUUUUCAGCUCCUUUACAUUUCAGCCAAUCUGUUAUUGAUCAUCUACAGCUCAAAGUAGGAAAAUAUUGUCUUAUUUACAUGAGUCUUUCCAAAGUAAAGUGCUUUAUAGUAGAAUAACACCUUUAAUUAAUAUUCUGUUUAGUUGAGGCUUCUAUCUACCAGCAAUAAAAGGUAAGUUUUCAUUGCUUCAAGGAAAGUGAAAGGGAGCUCUGCUCCCGCCCGUAUAAUCACUAGCAUAUACUGGAAGAACAGCAGGCUGCAACAGCUAAGCAUGAAAUCUGUGACCUGAGCAGAGAACAGAUUAAUCCCUGCUUGGGAUUUGAACCUAUAAUGUUUACCUUGCAAUAAGGCUCUAAUCUGUUAAUUGUCAACUUAAAUGGCCUGGAAGAGCACACAGAUAUCUCUGCAGUCUUGAAGAUUUUGUUGUUGCUGUUUUUGUAUUCUGGAAUUAGAAAGUGCUUUUCGUUUUUAGUUAUGUGGAUUAAAAGUCCUUUUCCUUCACAGGUGUGGAUUUAUUUUCUCUUUCAACCAUAAUAUUUAUUAACAGGUAUACAGUUAUAGUUUUAAAUUGUAAGUCACUGGGAAAGUAUAAGCAGAUUUCUAUAAAUUCACAUUGCUGGCACUCUUCAAGUACAGCAGGAGUUCCCAAAUGCAUGGUGACAUUUUACAUAGUCAGUUGGUGACCAGCUCUGCUGAACGGCUGCUGCACCCUUUAUCACCAUACUUUUAUCUUUCCCACCUACAACAGUUGUUGGUGUCCAUUCUUUCUAAAGUCUGCAAAGGGCUGACUGCCUGUGUCGCCUUCCCACCACUUAUGAGAAUGCCUGGCAGCCUUCCUCACACUUCCUGGGCAUCCAAGGCCUCUUCCUCCUGACAUCUUUCCUUACUGACGUGAGACACUCAAGCAUCACACUCUGUCUUCACUCCCACCCUCACCCCUGGGAGCUGCUGAGGAGGAGGAAACAAACAUCCAAGGGUUGCUUUGGAAGACAAUACUCAGCAUACAGUCUCUCUUAUUUGGAUAGAAGACCUUCAUAGUCAUCCCUUAAAUAGUGCCUGAUGGAAUCUUCAAAAAAAUUUUUUUAGUCUGAAUUUUAUUUCUCAAUAUGAUAUGAAUCCAAUAAGAAAAAACUUUUAAAACAGCAAUUCCCGUUUAUAGUACAAAACCAUUUCAAGAUUUAAUGACUUAGAGUCUGGUUAUCAUUAAAUGGUGUUUGUACAAACCAUAAAAAAUGUUUCUGGAAGGAACACUUCUCUCACACCAGCGCGUGAAGAGCACCCAGACCCGACUAGGCUAGAGCACAUGAACCUCACCUCCUCCGGGACGCUGCAGCCUCAGACACGGGAACACACAGUCAUUCUUUGGAAAGUGAGCUAAGGUUCCCCACACAGAUUCUGCUGUCUAGGAGAGAGGUUAGAGUUCCCUGCGGAGCUACAGGAGCUCAAGUGCCUUGGGAAGGCAGGGCGAAAGUUCUGCCUUAAGUACAGUUGCGCUCAGGGUGGAGCAAUAGCCUGAACCUGGGAAAGAGCUGGAAGCAAGAAACAGCUGCUCCUUCGCUGCUCACCUCUGCUUCCUCCCAUCCCUCCCUGCAGCAGGUCCCAGAUGGGGGUGCAGGCAGCACCAGCCCUAGCUGAGGGGCUAAGACAUCCAUCUCCAAAUCAGUGCAACUGGGAGUGAGGAUUUCAGCACAGAUACCUCCAGUUCUGUUAAACUAGGAAACGCCAUAUUUCAAAAUAAACAUUUCCAUAUCAUUAAAAUAGAAAAGAUUAGGGGUGCCUAGGUGGCUCAGUCAGUUAAGCAUCUGCCUUCAGCUCAGGUCAUGAUCCCAGGGUCCUGGGAUCAAGUCCCACAUCUUUGUCUCUGACAAAUAAAUAAAUAAAAUCUUUUUUAAAAAAGAAGAGAUCAUAGGCUCAGUAAUUUUUUUUGAGAGAGAGAGAGAGAGAGCAAGUAUGUAUAAGCAGGAAGGGGGAGGAGGGGCAGAGGGAGAGAGAGAGAGAGAGAGAAUCUUAAGCAGGCUCCAUGCCCGGUACAGAGCCCAACAUGGGGCUUGGUCUCACGAUCCUGAGAUCAUGACCUGAGCUGAAAUCAAGAGUUGGACGCUUUAACCAGCUGAGCUACUCAGGUGCCCCUAGACUCAGUAAUCUUAUCCUAGCAUUUACUUUUCUUGAGAUGUAGUGUCCAAUAGAACUUUCUGUGAUGGAGGAAGACUGAGCUGUGCCAUCUAAUAUGGUAUCCGCUAGCUAUAUGUAGCUAUUGAGCACUCGAUGUAUACAACUGAGGAACUAAAUUUUUAAUUUCCUGUAGUUUUCAUUAAUUAGCUACAUGUGGCUAGUGGCUACUGUGCCAAAAGAUCUUGAUUCCUAAAGAGCUGAGCAAUUGCAUCAGCCUUGCCUCAUACUGGUUUACAUUUAAUGAAAUAUGUUCAGUAAAUUACUUCGUAACACUUCAGCAUAACAUCACAUUUGCUCAGUGCUUUAUAGUUUAUAAAUUGCCUUCUCUUAAAAAUCUGUUCAGCUCUGAUGGAUGGCCAAAAUAUAGAAAUUAUAAGAUAAGGCUCCUACCCUGCAUUUUAAAUUUUCCAGCACACAUCAUUUCUAUCACAUAUUUUGUAGAGUUCUUACCACCUAGAACGUAUACAAGAGAUGCUUUUCCAGUGUGUCAGUAAUCUUAGGAAUACUUUGCUCACCCCAAAUGCCAUACCCAAGUUAUUGCCUGAUCAGCACAGUGUGCACCAAGACUGGCCUCCUGGGGUCCGGGUAGAUCUGUGAGUAUAGCCCAAGCCUGCAUUAACCGUUGUAGCAGACCUCUCUCCCACGUUGCUCACACUGACUUAUACCCAAAUGCACAGCUGGUCAACUGUCUAAAGACUGUCUAAAACCCAGGCCUAGACAGGCAAGCUAGCAUAUUACACUGUAUGGGUUUUGGCUCUUACGUCACAAGCAGCAGAAACAACUCUCUUAUUUAAGCAAAAUGGCAUUUAUUAUAAGGAUAUUAGGAAUUCAUAAAUCAACUUGCAAAAGUUGAGGCACCAGGAUUAGAAGUCGGCAGAAAUGAGGGAGGGCAGGCACUAGUACAUGUAAAAAUACAUCUGGAGUGCUGAAGAUGACAUAAUGAACUGCAAUAUUCCCUUGUCCUGUGGUCACUUGCUUAAGAUUCAAAGUGAUAGAAGAAAAAGAGUUGAAUAGACCAAGCUUAAGUAAAAUGGCUCCAACCUCCAACCUCACAGUGAAAGGAAUAUGGCUUCUUCGGUUUUAAACCAUAUACAACUUCUGAGAAAGAUAUCUGUGUACUUUUAGGAAGAGAAAAGGAAUGCCAAAUGUCCAAAAUAGACAUGUGUUCAUGACAUACAUGAUAAGACCCUUCCUAUACGCUGUCCUUAAAAGACACAGAUACUAUAAAAUCAUGCCUUCUAAAUCUUAAGCCAGUGAUUAUAUAAUGAAUCACUGCUGAGCCACAUGUCUAAAGAACUGGCCAGUUCUAAUCUGAUUCAUCUGUCUUUUCUUAAAAUUUAUUUAACUUACCACAAAUUAAUUAAGAAACUAAGACCUGUA
Ursus thibetanus thibetanus is the source of this 5723-nucleotide long non-coding RNA. Lineage: Eukaryota; Metazoa; Chordata; Mammalia; Carnivora; Ursidae. The record is from Ensembl.